GUCGUACGGUUUUGAGUGAUAUAACUUGUACACACUGGGACCAUCGCUGGACUUCAGGAUCUUCCUCCGUUCAGCUCAAGGUGAGGCGCUGGUUAUGUUUUUUCUUUGGUUGGUUCCGGCCGGAAUGUUCGGAUUCCAGUCGGACGUUUUGUGCUUCCCGCCGUGGAAGGUUCUGAGUGCGGUCACUUGAUUUAGUCCCAAUGGUUAGCAUAGAACGUUGUAGUCUUGACAACCAUAAGAAACCACCUGGCAGUUAGUUGGAUGGGAGUCCCCUGAGGGAAUCUGGCAGAACGUUCUGGAUUGUAUUAGCGUAACCUCGAGCCGUUGCCAACGGAAACAAUUUUUCAGUCGUAUCCAUUGGGAAUUGUUGCCCCUUAUCUUAAACAGCUUAAGUUUAAUAUUAAAUACAUACUGACACGUACGUCGUACAAUAUGUUGAUCAUUUCCGAUGGUUGCGCCGUACUUUUAACCACGAUGACGUGACGGGACUCUCGCUGCGUACAAAUCGGCGUUCUACUUGCGGGCCCAUUUUUGACAUCAGUGACGGCUGAAAAUCAUUUCAAGGUGGCAUUUCAACGGAACCCAGCACCUGAAUAUGGCUGAGUAUAUUUGAUUUAAUAUCGAUACUGCUUAGUGUUCUUUAUUACUUCAGCUUUUGUACGUUCUAAAUAUCUGCUGUCAUUAAUUGCCACAGAAGUUAAACCCUACUAAAUGGAAUGACGUUAAACAACGACUUUGGUGCAGAGUUACCAACUGGAUAAUAUCAAAGCUAAAAUAAUGGCCGUCCUUCCCACAUGUUACAGUAGAUGAUACUCUAGAACUGUACAAGGUUAAAAAAGUAACAUGUAGUUUGUCCCAAGGUGUCUGCCUCCUCACCCAGAGCAAGACCUCCACCUCCUCACCCAGAGCCAGACCUCCACCUCCUGUCAGAAGUCCUCCAGAACAGUGCUCUGGUGUCUGAAAGGCGAGGCUGAGAGGCUGGGGACCGGAGGCUUGUGGUGCCAGGAUGGACCGGAGACUGAGGCUGGAGACCAGGGGCCUGCAGCACCGGACCAGAGGACCAGGAAUCUAUGUCUGGGGGAGCCGUGCUGAUGGAGGAGCCGUGCUGAUGGAGGAGCCGAGCUGAUGGAGGAGCCAUGCUGAUGGAGGAGCUGGUGGAGGCCCUGCCUGGUGAAGGACGUCUGUCGUGGGGAAUCUGAGGAGAGCUGCUGGAGGAGCCGAGACGCUGGAGGACGACUAGGAAUCGACCAACAAGGAUUCCUCAACGUGUUUCUGGAGCGGAGGCGAGCUGGUAGGGUAGCCGUGAAUCUGGAGGAUGACCAUCACUCUACCAACAAGGAUUACGUUAGUGCCAGACUCGCGCUGUUUGUUCCAGACCAGGACUCUGGCUGAGGAGAGCUGAUGGAGGAGCAAAGACUCUGGAGGACGACAUCACUCUACCAACCAGGAUCCUUACGAGGGAUCUGGAGGACUGAUGGAGAAGCCGUACAUCAGGAAGGCAAAUCCUGAGGACAACCAGGACUCUACCAUCAAGGAUUCCUCACACAUCUGAGCUGAACCUCACCUGAUCCUGUUUGGUCGGGGGAAGGCACACCUGAGCUGAACCCGCCCUGAUCCUGACAUCCUGCUGGUCCCGUCUCCUCAGUUCAUCUGAGCCUUGUCCUCCAGAAGACCUGCUGAGCUCAGCAGUCUGAGGCUGAUGGAUCAAUGACCUCCAGUGGGAGUGAUCUUCUUGACCCCACAUGUAACCGUGUGCUUCCACACGCCUUUCCCGCAUGUCUGUCACUAACCUCACUACUUCACUACUCUCUACUGCUUCCUCUUCUUCUUCCUUCUCUGUGGUUCGAACCUUUACACGGAAGGCGCGUCUUCCUGCCCUCAGAGGGUUCAGCGUUAGGGUUGAGAGUCAGGGUUUAGAGUCAGGGACAGAGCUGGUCAGGGAGGACUGCUUUUACACAAACCUCUUCACUUCCUUUCGGAAUGGUGGUGACAUUUUGGAAAGAUUCAUUUUGGAAAAUGUUUUCCUCUGCCUUCCUUUACAAAAUUGUAUUAAACUUCUGUCAAGUGUUUCUGUUUAUAUAUUAAAAUCCCAACUUGACUUCUGCAUGUUUAGUGUGGUUCAUUUAAUUGUCCUUUAACUUGGUUAAUGUCAAGCUAAACUCCUGCAAUACAUUUAAUAUACAUGAUUGUUAUUCAGCAAUGUUCACAUAAUCCAUUUGUAAAAAUAUUAAACCUCCAUAUUGCUACAAAAUUCAAGCCUAUU
Gadus chalcogrammus (walleye pollock) is the source of this 2263-nucleotide long non-coding RNA. RefSeq lists it as uncharacterized. The transcript has 8 exons. Lineage: Eukaryota; Metazoa; Chordata; Actinopteri; Gadiformes; Gadidae. The record is from RefSeq and is a predicted model, not a curated record.